GUGGUUCAGUUGUAGGAUUCUUACCUUCCAUGUAGGCGACCCAGGUUCAAUUCCUGGC
RNAcentral lists this transfer RNA (58 nucleotides) under Loxodonta africana (African savanna elephant). It matches the Rfam family "tRNA", at positions 7 to 64 of the family's 71-position model. Rfam says of the family: Transfer RNA (tRNA) molecules are approximately 80 nucleotides in length. Their secondary structure includes four short double-helical elements and three loops (D, anti-codon, and T loops). Further hydrogen bonds mediate the characteristic L-shaped molecular structure. tRNAs have two regions of fundamental functional importance: the anti-codon, which is responsible for specific mRNA codon recognition, and the 3' end, to which the tRNAs corresponding amino acid is attached (by aminoacyl-tRNA synthetases). tRNAs cope with the degeneracy of the genetic code in two manners: having more than one tRNA (with a specific anti-codon) for a particular amino acid; and 'wobble' base-pairing, i.e. permitting non-standard base-pairing at the 3rd anti-codon position. The record is from Rfam by way of RNAcentral. Lineage: Eukaryota; Metazoa; Chordata; Mammalia; Proboscidea; Elephantidae.